UGGGGAAUCUUGCGCAAUGGGCGAAAGCCUGACGCAGCCAUGCCGCGUGAAUGAUGAAGGUCUUAGGAUUGUAAAAUUCUUUCACCGGGGACGAUAAUGACGGUACCCGGAGAAGAAGCCCCGGCUAACUUCGUGCCAGCAGCCGCGGUAAUACGAAGGGGGCUAGCGUUGCUCGGAAUUACUGGGCGGAAAGGGAGCGUAGGCGGACAUUUAAGUCAGGGGUGAAAUCCCGGGGCUCAACCUCGGAAUUGCCUUUGAUACUGGGUGUCUUGAGUAUGAGAGAAGUGUGUGGAACUCCGAGUGUAGAGGUGAAAUUCUUAGAUAUUCGGAAGCACACCAGUGGCGAAGGCGACACACUGGCUCAUUACUGACGCUGAGGCUCGAAAGCGUGGGGAGCAAACAGG
Molecule: ribosomal RNA, 404 nt
Filed under: Actinomycetes bacterium
Lineage: Bacteria; Bacillati; Actinomycetota; Actinomycetes
Description: Actinobacteria bacterium partial 16S ribosomal RNA
Rfam family: Bacterial small subunit ribosomal RNA
Source: RNAcentral